Molecule: ribosomal RNA, 253 nt
Filed under: uncultured bacterium
Lineage: Bacteria
Description: partial 16S ribosomal RNA
Rfam family: Bacterial small subunit ribosomal RNA
Source: RNAcentral
UACAGAGGAGCCAAGCGUUGUCCGGAUUGACUGGGCGUAAAGCGCACGCAGGCGGUUGCGCGCGGGGGGGGUGAAAUCUGGCCGCUUAACGGCCAGGCGCCAUCCCAUACGGCGCGACUGGAGUGAUGCAGAGGUCGAUGGAAUUGCCGGUGUAGUGGUGAAAUGGGUAGAGAUCGGCAGGAACACCCAGGGGGAAACCAGUCGACUGGGCAUCUACUGACGCUGAGGUGCGAGAGCGUGGGGAGCGAACCGG